GCGGCAGCCCGAUCACCCCCAAACCUCGUCAGCAUCCCCACCUGGCCCCAACCUGCCAGCCUUCACCAGGCUCUUAACAAGAGGCCAGUUCUCAGCCAGCCUCUCUCCUGUCCUUGAGCGGCAAGUGGGCAGCUGAGCAGAAUUGUAGAAGGAAUGCAAAUCAGACUAAUACGGCCUGAGAGGAAAUUUAGAGAAGACAGUAGACAUGAAAGACCAAGAAGACCCACACACACAAUAUUGUGUUUCUGAAGACAAGAACAGAACACCAUCUAUCUCAUCUCACUGCCCAAACCAACAAAGGUUCUCCACUUGGAAGGACUCAUAUGAUUAUCCUAGUUUGUGAACUACCUUUGGAGCCCGUAAAGUGGAGAUGAGCCCCAUGCAUGUCACUGAACUCAGAACAUGGGGAGCCUGGGUUACAGAUCCACAGAAUAACCAAGACCAGCGUGGCAGGGGCCUCCAGGGGCCGAAACCUCCAGGAGAGAAGUCAGUAAAUGCUAUAGAAAGCACAGCCUGUGUCGGGAAUGGAGAUGAAAUAUUUCUUUGUUAGACAUGCCAUCAAAAAGUCCCGAAGUUGAGGAAGAACGCAGGUUUAUUUUCAAAUAAAUGCUCACUUGGAC
RNAcentral lists this long non-coding RNA (620 nucleotides) under Homo sapiens (human). RNAcentral's name for it is "HSALNT0169424". The record is from RNAcentral. Lineage: Eukaryota; Metazoa; Chordata; Mammalia; Primates; Hominidae.